This 916-nucleotide ribosomal RNA is filed under the name uncultured bacterium. RNAcentral describes it as "bacterial SSU rRNA". It matches the Rfam family "Bacterial small subunit ribosomal RNA", at positions 246 to 1155 of the family's 1533-position model. The record is from RNAcentral.
UUGUUGGUGAGGUAAAGGCUUACCAAGGCUUCGAUCAGUAGCUGGUCUGAGAGGACGACCAGCCACACUGGGACUGAGACACGGCCCAGACUCCUACGGGAGGCAGCAGUGGGGAAUUUUGGACAAUGGGGGAAACCCUGAUCCAGCCAUGCCGCGUGAGUGAAGAAGGCCUUCGGGUUGUAAAGCUCUUUCAGCCGGAACGAAACGGUUACGAUUAAUACCUGUAACUACUGACGGUACCGGAAGAAGAAGCACCGGCUAACUACGUGCCAGCAGCCGCGGUAAUACGUAGGGUGCAAGCGUUAAUCGGAAUUACUGGGCGUAAAGCGUGCGCAGGUGGUUUUGUAAGCCAGAUGUGAAAGCCCCGGGCUCAACCUGGGAACUGCGUUUGAAACUACAAGACUAGAGUGUGGCAGAGGGGGGUGGAAUUCCGCGUGUAGCAGUGAAAUGCGUAGAGAUGUGGAGGAACACCGAUGGCGAAGGCAGCCCCCUGGGUUAACACUGACACUCAGGCACGAAAGCAUGGGGAGCAAACAGGAUUAGAUACCCUGGUAGUCCAUGCCCUAAACGAUGUCAACUAGUUGUCGGGCCUUUACGGGCUUGGUAACGUAGCUAACGCGUGAAGUUGACCGCCUGGGGAGUACGAUCGCAAGAUUAAAACUCAAAUGAAUUGACGGGGACCCGCACAAGCGGUGGAUUAUGUGGAUUAAUUCGAUGCAACGCGAAAAACCUUACCUACCCUUGACAUGUAUCGAAGCCCGCAGAAAAGCGGGGGUGCCCGAAAGGGAACGAUAACACAGGUGCUGCAUGGCUGUCGUCAGCUCGUGUCGUGAGAUGUUGGGUUAAGUCCCGCAACGAGCGCAACCCUUGUCAUUAAUUGCCAUCAUUUAGUUGGGCACUUUAAUGAGACUGCCGG